GCUGGCGGCGUGCCUAACACAUGCAAGUCGAACGAGAAAGUGGAGCAAUCCAUGAGUAAAGUGGCGACCGGGUGAGUAACACGUGACUAACCUACCUCCGAGUGGGGAAUAACUCCGGGAAACCGGGGCUAAUACCGCAUAACAUCGCAAGAUCAAAGCAGCAAUGCGCUUGGAGAGGGGGUCGCGGCUGAUUAGCUUGUUGGCGGGGUAACGGCCCACCAAGGCGAAGAUCGGUAUCCGGCCUGAGAGGGCGCACGGACACACUGGAACUGAAACACGGUCCAGACUCCUACGGGAGGCAGCAGUGGGGAAUUUUGCGCAAUGGGGGAAACCCUGACGCAGCAACGCCGCGUGGAGGAUGAAGCCCUUUGGGGCGUAAACUCCUUUCGACUCGGAAGAUAAUGACGGUACGAGUGGAAGAAGCACCGGCUAACUCUGUGCCAGCAGCCGCGGUAAUACAGAGGGUGCGAGCGUUGUUCGGAAUUAUUGGGCGUAAAGGGCGCGU
RNAcentral lists this ribosomal RNA (505 nucleotides) under uncultured bacterium. Its description in RNAcentral is "bacterial SSU rRNA". It matches the Rfam family "Bacterial small subunit ribosomal RNA", at positions 35 to 572 of the family's 1533-position model. The record is from RNAcentral.